GUGAUGUUGUUGUAUUAUCACAUAAUUCUAUAAAAAAAAGGGUAGCCAAUGUAGUUAUUCAACACCUUGAAACAGCGCAUGUCUCUGCAGUACCUGUACAGAUAAAUUCUAGUUCUGACAUAAAAAAGGAGUUUGGUAAUAACAAAAUAGAUGGCACUAGUAACGAAACAUAUUGUUAUGAUGACAAAAAACAACAACGGGUGAGUAACAAAGAAGAGUGCAAUAACAGCAAAAGUGCGAACACAAAUUCAAAUCUGAAAAUGCUCCAAAUAAAUAAGAAUAAAUUAAUCAAACAAGAAAUAAAAAAAUAUUGUAAAUAUAAUUACUAUUUCGAAAUAAAUAGAUAUUUUUUAAAAAGUUUAAGACGGUUUGAUAUUUCUAUUACGAAAAAUGAAAAAAAAAAUCCUUUAUAUAUACCUGAACCAAGUAUUAAAGUGUUAGUAAAAAGCAAUUAUAAUCUUUAUAUAUUUAUUUCGAGUAUGCUUUUUGGAAAUGAUAAACAGGAAAACGAAAUGAUCAACAAUCAGUUUCAUUUAUCAUUAAAAAAAAAAAAUCAAACAGCCAUGAACAAAAAUGAUAAUGAUCUUCUUCAUAGUUCUACAUAUAGCGAUAAGCAAACAGAUGGAUAUAAUGAAGGUAAAGGAGAGUGCGGGGAAGGGAAUACAUGCAGAUAUAAUGGAUACCAUAGCAAAGACAGUGACCCCAUUAUGAAUCACAUAGAAACAUUGUUAAGUCGCAAAAUAAAAGAAUAUAUUAAUAAAAAUUAUAAAAAAAAAAAACGUGUACGGGUUAGGAAAUUGUGUAUACAUUAUGAUGAAAAUUUAGAUUUAUUUGUUUAUUCUGCUCUUAGUAAAGAUUUAAUCAUUCAUAAUAUAAUUAUUCAAAUGUACAACAAAAAAGAAAAUAAAAAUUUGCAUCUUAAAUUUAGUAAGGGUAUAUAUAAAAUAAAGCCUGGGUUAAAUUUAAUAAAACUUAAUAUUGUUGAUAUUCUUGAAAAUAGUGAAAUAAAUUGGCAAUAUUUUUAUUAUAAAAUAAAAUAUAUUUUUUUAGUAGCUAAUAAUUUUUGUUUUUAUCAAAAAAUAGGUAUAUUACCAUAUAAACAAAUAUUAAAUGUUUUUUUAAAUGCUUAUAGUAAUUUUAUAAUACAUAAUUCUAUAGUAAUUGAUACAAAAAAACAUGCCAGUUUUUUUUUUAAUCAACUUAUUGUUCCGAUUUAUAUUAAAAUAAAAACAUUAAAUUCGAUAUUCAAUUGUACGAUUAAGCCUUCUCUUCUUAACUCAACUUGUUUAUUAUAUAAUAAUGUUAAUUAUAUUGAACUCACAAUAAAAAAAAAUCCUAAAUAUUUUAUUUUUACCAAGUUAAAACCUGAAUUGAUGAGUACGAACAAAAUGGACACAAAAAUUUUUGUCAAAGUUGAAAAUGAUUUAUUUUGCAACAAUGCAAAAUGUGUCGAUGCAUAUACAGCUGCUAGUGGUGGUAGCGAAAACAACGACACUCGCACUUGUACAUACAUGUUUAAUAAAAAUUUCGACACUUUAAUAGAUUCCAUAUUCUUUUACUUUGAAAAAAGCGAUGAUAUUAAAAUAGAUCAAGUAGUAGCUUUAAAUGAAAAAGAAAUUGGCUAUAUACACAACGAAACUAAUAAUACUAGCUUUUCUUUGGUAAGUAAACAUACUAAUGAAAAUGAGAGAUAUAAUUUGAAUAUAAAACCUAUUGAAAUGAAUGAUAUAGAUGAAACAAACUCACAUGAAUUGUUAAAAAAUGUUCAUGUAAUUAUAUCGUUUUUGUUAAAAAAAAUAAAUGAUAAAAUGGAAGGUAAAGUGGGUAACGAACAAUAUAAGAAAAGUUGCAACUACUACAAUACGUAUUCUCAAGAUGAUUGUAACAAAAUAAAAAUAAAAUGUGUAAUUAAUAUGAAUCUACACAAUAAACAAAGAAAAAAAAGAAGAACCGAUUUAUUUAUACUAUCACAAGUUAAUUAUGUAGGGAAUAUGAAGUUUGUUAAUUUUAUUACCAACCCAUCUGAACAAAAAACAAACCACUUUUUAAAUAAUCAGAUAAUAAUAGAAAAAGAAUUUAAUGUGAUAAAUAUUUUUAAAGAAAAAAUAAAUACAUACAGAUCAAAUAAUGGAAUGUUAUAUGAAUUGAUAUUAAAAUUACAUUAUGAUAAUUAUUCAAUAUUUUUAAACAAAAUUUAUAUAUCUAUUUUAAAACAGUGUAUCUCACAAAUAAAAAAUGUUAAAAUUUUUGCUGUAAAUAAUAAUGAAGAAAAAGAAGAAAAUCAAAAAACAAAUUUUGUUAAAAAUGAAACAGACUAUUUGCUUUAUGGAACACAAUGUGAUGUGUAUGAAACAGGGGUUGAUGAUAAUGACGAUGUUGAGGUUAAUAUAGUACGUAAAACUGACACAAGUGUAUUAAAUGUGUCGGACAAAAAGGCGUUAGUAAACGACUUAACAAAGCUGAAUGAUGAUGCUAACGAUUCUUAUAAAAAGCAAAACGAUUUAUCAAAUAUGCUUUGUAAAAGCGAAAUAGAAAAAAAUAAUAUAUGUUUUCCUAUUGCAAAUGAAAUGGACAAGUCAAACGGCUAUAAUAUAAGCGAUAUAAAAUAUGUCCAUAUGUUUGAUAAGAGAAAAAAUGAGAACACUAUUAAUAAAUGUAAUGUACGUAACGAAGAAAAGUAUAUUUAUAACGAAGUUAAUAUUAAUAGUUGGAUUAAAAGUGGGGCUAACUUUUUUUUACUUUUUGAAAUUGAAUAUAAUGAUUUAUUUCAAAAAGAUGAACAAACAACUAGCUUUAAGUUACUAAAUUAUGAAAACACAUUUGCAAAUAUAAACAUAACUUAUGAAUAUAAAAAUGGGAACAUGUUGAAUUUGUAUAAAGAAAAAGAGAAAGGGAGAGAACUAGAAAAUGUAAAAGCAAGUACAAAAACAAAUGAAAAUGAAUAUACAUACAUUCAUAAUCUUUUAGUACCCGUACCUCAGUUUUUACUACCUAUAAAUGUACACUAUGAUAUACCAAAACAUGGGCUUCUUCAUUCAACUAUUAGUAUAAAAAUAAAAAUAACAAAUUGUAUUAAUGAAAAUAU
Piliocolobus tephrosceles (Ugandan red Colobus) is the source of this 3085-nucleotide long non-coding RNA. Lineage: Eukaryota; Metazoa; Chordata; Mammalia; Primates; Cercopithecidae. The record is from Ensembl.